CUUAUUUUCAUUUUUUUGGACCAAGGAACUUAAAUCCAAAGACCCUAGGCCUAUAUCACUGAUGGUUUACCAGUUAGAAACGCAUAUCACUUAUAUCAAAUGCAUAAGGGGAAAUAACUCUCAUAUGGAGUCUCCAGAUAACUUCAGUCCAAAUGAAUAUCCUAAUCCUGAAGAAGUAACGAGCAAUUUGGUGAAAUAAAUUUGUCGUAAUCUUUUACGGUUGCGAAGGAGUAGUGGCCACAAGAAAAACAGUGUUUGGGGAGAUAACUCUUACAACGUAAAGUAUUUUGUUACGCAGUUGUAAAUUUUAAAGCGUAUAAACUAUA
RNAcentral lists this long non-coding RNA (326 nucleotides) under Mytilus galloprovincialis (Mediterranean mussel). The record is from RNAcentral. Lineage: Eukaryota; Metazoa; Mollusca; Bivalvia; Mytilida; Mytilidae.